RNAcentral lists this small RNA (30 nucleotides) under Bombyx mori (domestic silkworm). RNAcentral's name for it is "ovarian small RNA-12784". Lineage: Eukaryota; Metazoa; Arthropoda; Insecta; Lepidoptera; Bombycidae. The record is from RNAcentral.
CAACCGAUGCUUCUCGGCUCAGGCCCGCGC